AGUAACACGUAUCCACCUGCCGAGGACUCGGGGAUAGCCUUUCGAAAGAAAGAUUAAUACCCGAUGGCUCCGCAUGGUUAAAGAAUUUCGGUCAUCGAUGGGGAUGCGUUCCAUUAGGUUGUUGGCGGGGUAACGGCCCACCAAGCCUUCGAUGGAUAGGGGUUCUGAGAGGAAGGUCCCCCACAUUGGAACUGAGACACGGUCCAAACUUAUACGGGAGGCAGCAGUGAGGAAUAUUGGUCAAUGGACGAGAGUCUGAACCAGCCAAGUAGCGUGAAGGAUGACUGCCUAUGGGUUGUAAACUUCUUUUAUACGGGAAUAAGUGAGGCACGUGUGCCUUUUUGUAUGUACCGUAUGAAUAAGGAUCGGCUAACUCCGUGCCAGCAGCCGCGGUAAUACGGAGGAUCCGAGCGUUAUCCGGAUUUAUUGGGUUUAAAGGGAGCGUAGGCGGACGCUUAAGUCAGUUGUGAAAGUUUGCGGCUCAACCGUAAAAUUGCAGUUGAUACUGGGUGUCUUGAGUACAGUAGAGGCAGGCGGAAUUCGUGGUGUAGCGGUGAAAUGCUUAGAUAUCACGAAGAACUCCGAUUGCGAAGGCAGCCUGCUGGACUGUAACUGACGCUGAUGCUCGAAAGUGUGGGUAUCAAACAGGAUUAGAUACCCUGGUAGUCCACACAGUAAACGAUGAAUACUCGCUGUUU
Molecule: ribosomal RNA, 698 nt
Filed under: uncultured bacterium
Lineage: Bacteria
Description: bacterial SSU rRNA
Rfam family: Bacterial small subunit ribosomal RNA
Source: RNAcentral